GCCUACAGUUUUACCCCCGAUCUUCCUCCUUUCACCCGUUCUUUGUCGCUUACAUCGCUUCCCCGCUAUUACAUUGCUGUUGUGAUCGAAGAACAAUUUUAUUUUAUUUUUUUUAACAUUCCAGAAUGUUUUUUUGGGAAUUUUCCAUAUUAUUUAUUCCGAAAGACUAGCACAUUUUGAUUUCCAGAACUAGGGGUGCAUGAUUAGUCUUCCAGAGUGCACAUUGUGGAAAAGUGUUGUGGAAUUACCAUUCAGAGAACGUGUUCUUUUAAGCAUUCCAGAACAGUAAUUGUUGUUUUGAGCAUUGUCUGGAACGUAUUGGUUCUAUGAUUUAGUUUUCAGAUAGACUUUGAUGUUGUGCAUUUAGGUUUCUCCUCGUCCAUGUUUGAGUCGAAGUGCAGGUGGUUUCGUGGUGGGUGUGGUUCUUUCCAUCCCCAUCAUUGUCCCGGCGUUGGCGUUCUUUCCAUUUAGGACGCCCUUCGUUUCAGGCGCGGUGGUUGUGUGUUUCCGGCGCAAGGUCGUGGUGGUUGAGCACGGCCUUUUUUGUAUUGUGCCCCGGUGUCCCCGAAGGCCUUGCUCUGUCGUCAGAGAUCAAACAAAUUUUGUAAAAGUUAGCCACUAAUUAAGCUGGAGGCUAGGUGUAGAAUUUAAGGUAUUAUUUAUGUUACAGACAAGGUUGGCCGCUACUGAAAACAUGACUCAUAUUCGGAACCUUCUUGGUGUAAAAUUUGACAUUACGGAUUAUGAAGUUAUAGAAUUUGGUAGAUGAAACCAAAUUGUGAAAUUUAUGGAGGAGGCUCAACAUCAUAGAGAUGGGUUAUUUGCUAAGGUUCUUAAAUUAUACAUCCUAUUCUGCCUUAGGGACGUUAUUGAUGCAAGACUUUUUUUCAUCAUUGCUAUCAUUGCUAGAUGGGUCGGUUGUUGGACAAAGUGACAUCUGACUUGUGGUGCAUGACUGUGUCCAUUACUAACACAUUUUUGGUUAUCCUACAUAAUAGACCAUGCCAUCAACAAACAUCAGCAAAUGUUUCUUUGUAUAGGUGUUUGUCAAUGACAUGUUCUGUAAUUAAACUUGAGUAACAAGAACCACAUUUAGGAUUUCAUAUCCUUUUGGUGUUAUUGUUUUGAUAUCCAUAGGGUCUGACUUGAGUAUAUAAACCUUUGGAGGGAUUGUCUUAGGUCGGAGACGGUUUUUGAGGUAGGAGUUUUGGGCGACGAGUUUUUCCAAAUGGGAGAUAUUCUGGAAAUGCUUCUUCUGUUUCUCUGUUUCGUCUUCGAGGGAGAGUGAGUGUUAUUGUUUCUGGGAUUCCUCAUACUCAAUUCAUAACAGAGUUAUGGAAUUACAUGUUUCUUCU
Vigna angularis (adzuki bean) is the source of this 1355-nucleotide long non-coding RNA. RefSeq lists it as uncharacterized. The record is from RefSeq and is a predicted model, not a curated record. Lineage: Eukaryota; Viridiplantae; Streptophyta; Magnoliopsida; Fabales; Fabaceae. The transcript has 5 exons.